AACGAACGCUGGCGGCAUGCCUAACACAUGCAAGUCGAACGAUCCCUUCGGGGAUAGUGGCGCACGGGUGCGUAACGCGUGGGAACCUGCCCUUAGGUUCGGAAUAACUCAGAGAAAUUUGAGCUAAUACCGGAUAAUGUCUUCGGACCAAAGAUUUAUCGCCUUUGGAUGGGCCCGCGUUGGAUUAGCUAGUUGGUGGGGUAAAGGCCUACCAAGGCGACGAUCCAUAGCUGGUCUGAGAGGAUGAUCAGCCACACUGGGACUGAGACACGGCCCAGACUCCUACGGGAGGCAGCAGUGGGGAAUAUUGGACAAGGGGCGAAAGCCGGACCAGCAAUGCCGCGUGAGUGAUGAAGGCCUUAGGGUUGUAAAGCUCUUUUACCCGGGAUGAUAAUGACAGUACCGGGAGAAUAAGCCCCGGCUAACUCCGUG
Molecule: ribosomal RNA, 432 nt
Filed under: uncultured bacterium
Lineage: Bacteria
Description: partial 16S ribosomal RNA
Rfam family: Bacterial small subunit ribosomal RNA
Source: RNAcentral